Molecule: RNA transcript, 1718 nt
Organism: Drosophila nasuta
Lineage: Eukaryota; Metazoa; Arthropoda; Insecta; Diptera; Drosophilidae
Gene: Smug
Gene name: Single-strand-selective monofunctional uracil-DNA glycosylase
Exons: 4
Source: RefSeq, a predicted model, not a curated record
AUUAAUUUGCGCAUAUGUGUUUCGAUUAUUUUGAAAUAUGGCAUUCCCACACCGCGAAAGUGUUGCUUCCUUCUUUUUUAUUUGCUUAAAAUAUAAAAUGGUAUAUACUGCUUGAAAUAUAAAAUGGGAUAUACUGGCAGCACUGGCAGUUGUCAGCUGAUUUCAGUUACGGUCAUUGAUGUUUUCUUAAACUGCGCGCUAAAUUUGCAUAAACUGAAAAAUUUAAAUAUGCUGAAAAGAAAAUUAGAAAAACAAGCAGCACUAACUGAGGACAUUAAGCCCAAGGUAACUGCGUUACCUGGAGCCAUCAAUUCGGAAUUGUUUCGACAACCACUUUGGAUGGACUUCUAUGAAAUUGAGUGCACACUGAAUAAGAAAAUUGCUUCACUUGAACCGCCAAAAAAUAUUAAAUGCAUAUACAAUCCGUUAGAAUAUGCAGCCUCAUUACAUUGCGCUUACCUACGUCGUUUCUUGAAAGGACGCAAGCAAUUAAUGUUCAUUGGCAUGAAUCCAGGUCCAAAUGGAAUGGGGCAGACAGGAGUACCUUUUGGCAACGUUCGUACUGUCCGUGACAUAAUGCAGCUAACGGGCGAGGUACUUCAGCCACCCUUGGUGCAUCCCAAACGGCCCGUGGAGGGACUGAAUUGCAAAAUUGAGGAGCCAAGCGGUGUGCGCUUGUGGGAGCUUUUUCUGCAUUUAGCAGGCGGGAGAAUCGAUACUUUUGCAGACCGAUGUUUUGUACACAAUUUUUGUCCCUUGGCAUUCUUCGACGAGCACGGUCAUAAUAUUACACCGAAUGAGUUGAAAGGCGCAUAUAAGCAGCAGAUACGCGACAUAUGUUUGAAUGCUUUAGAACAGUUGCUUAACCUGGUUCAGCCACAAACUGUGGUGGCAGUGGGUCCAAAUGGCACAAGCAAGUACCUGGAAUGCGAAAUAUCCAAGUACUAUAGAGAGUACCUUUCACUUCUUUGUAAUGGAGCUUGACAAAUCUUCAGAAUGUGCGUAACUUGGCACAAAUACUUGGGUUCUUUGUGUUUGAUUGAUGAGCUGCUGCUUAAGUUGAGCUUAAUCAUAACAAUACGAACAGCAGCAGUGAGUUGAAAUGUAAUGGAUAUCACAGUGUAGAAAUAUCCUUGUCAUCAACAAUAAAACUACUGUAACGGAGUACACCUAAUCACGCUGACGACGACAAAAAAUCAUGAGCAACAAGAAAGGGAAAAAUGCCCAACAAUAAGCCAACACACAAAAACAACAAUAUCGGACGCUGCCACAACAGACAGUAUAAACAUGGGACCGGGAGUAAAGAUCACAUACGAACGUGUUUAAUGAAUGCUCGUCGCUGAAGCAGGCAGCAGAGGCUGAUGGUGGCCUUGCUCUAGGACUCCUGGUUAUGUCGCCUGUUCUGCCUUCCUAUUGUUUUGUCUGUCUCGUAGUUAGUGCAACGCCUGUGGUAUCUAAUUUAAGCAACGCUCGUUAUAAUUACAGCAUUUGCAGCCAAAGGCAACAAAAGUGGUGGAAAAUGAUGCGCACGUGACAUCCGUUCCCAGUAUGCAUUGCUCAGGGUAGUUGGUCAAGAAGUAAAAAUAAUUUACGAAUUAAAACUUUUAGCUUGCAUUAGUCGUUAUUCAUAAUCCGCUAUUGAAUUAAGAAAAAAGGAUAUCACACCAUGAAAUAGUCCGUAGCUGAAAUAUAUUUUAUUUGAUAUCUUGAUCCAUUAA